GCAUUUAACGCGAGCCGAAUCAAUUUGCCUUCAAUCACCUCAUUGCCUCGUCAGCAUUCGUUGGCUCUUCCUUGUCGCCGUCACACUUCAUUGCAAUUGAUCCCCUCUUCUCACGUCGGUGACCUCCAGCUUGCCGCUUGCUCUCUUCUAAUCUCAUUAAUAUCCAUUACUUUGUGAUUUGCAUGUUGUUAAUUUUUGUUAUUGGUGAUGGGAUUAAUCAUUUUUCAGAUUGAAAAUCAUUAUGGAUUGGGAAGGUGCAUGGGUUGGG
This 268-nucleotide unclassified non-coding RNA is filed under the name Hevea brasiliensis (rubber tree). Lineage: Eukaryota; Viridiplantae; Streptophyta; Magnoliopsida; Malpighiales; Euphorbiaceae. The record is from RNAcentral.